Saimiri boliviensis boliviensis (Bolivian squirrel monkey) is the source of this 105-nucleotide small nuclear RNA. The record is from Ensembl. NCBI's taxonomy places the organism in Eukaryota, Metazoa, Chordata, Mammalia, Primates, Cebidae.
GUGCUUGCUUCAGCAGCACAUAUACUAAAAAAUAGAACAAUACAGAGAUUAGCAUGGCCCCUGUGUGAGGAUGACAUACAAAUUCAUGAAGCUUUUUUUUUUUUU